GACGAACGCUGGCGGCGUGCUUAACACAUGCAAGUCGAACGGAAAGGCCCUGCUUUUGUGGGGUGCUCGAGUGGCGAACGGGUGAGUAACACGUGAGUAACCUGCCCUUGACUUUGGGAUAACUUCAGGAAACUGGGGCUAAUACCGGAUAGGAGCUCCUGCUGCAUGGUGGGGGUUGGAAAGUUUCGGCGGUUGGGGAUGGACUCGCGGCUUAUCAGCUUGUUGGUGGGGUAGUGGCUUACCAAGGCUUUGACGGGUAGCCGGCCUGAGAGGGUGACCGGCAACAUGGGGACUGAGAUACGGACCAGACGCGUACGGGAGGCAGCAGGGGGGAGUAUUGCACAAUGGGCGGAAGCCUGAUGCAGCAACGCCGCGUGCGGGAUAACGGCCUUCGGGUUGUAAACAACUUUCGCCUGUAACGAAGCGUGAGUGACGGUAAUGGAUAAAGAAGCACCGGCUAACUACGUG
This 468-nucleotide ribosomal RNA is filed under the name uncultured bacterium. Its description in RNAcentral is "partial 16S ribosomal RNA". It matches the Rfam family "Bacterial small subunit ribosomal RNA", at positions 28 to 507 of the family's 1533-position model. The record is from RNAcentral.